AAAGUGCAAUCUGCUACUUCAAGCUUUUGGUUCAGUAGUAUACUAGUGCUUGCAAUGAAACACUGUUGCAACUGCUUACAAGUUAAUUAUUUAUAAGGUUUAAAAAGAUCAAGAGUCCAACUACAGCAAACACCAACCUCCAUGACGGUGUUGAAAUUUUUUGACCAGUAAAACAUCAAUAUUUGAACUUCUGUUAAUUCUCAGUAAGAUCUUCUGCAGUUGUCUGACAGAAUAUGGUCAGACUGGUCUUCCAGAACAUGCACUAGGAUCUUGGAUGUGAGAACAAGGUGGAAUUGACUGUUUCUGGCAAUUCAUGGUGGAGCGAUUCCUGGAGCAGUUUCCUGCCAUCCAGGCCACCUCAAUGGACCCUCAGCUUAAGAUGGAGAAGGAUGGGUAAAGAACACUGUGAUUAAACAGUCCAUCUGUAGUAACAUCAGUGAGGCCAAAGAUCUCUGCCCUUGAGGAGCUGUUUGCUGACAUGACUUGGCAGUUCAAGCAAGAACACAGACCACUAUAAGCAGCAAUACAGAGAAGAUUCAGACAGAGAUAAACCACUACAGAUUACUUCCAUCUACACUGUUUUGGUAUCAAACAUUUUUGAACGAUAAACAGCCAUACUCAUAUGUGUAUGUGGUUACUAAAUAAAGGAAACCGUUAACAAGCCUAAAACUCACCCGAGCUACUUUGAGGAAAUGGAGAAAGCUCCAUUGUCCGAAUAUCAUCCAGACUUCUGUUAAGUUGCUCAAUUUUCUCAAAAGAUAGUAACUAUGCACUUCUCUGUGCAUUUCUUGAGCAACUGUCAAUCACACAAAACUCUCGAUCACCACAAUUUCCCUGACAUACACUCGGUAAGCAGCAAUGGCAGAACGAAAAGACCUUUUAGCUCUGCAAGAUAAAAAAAGGUUUGUUUGGCUUUUAUACAAGAAUGGCUAACUGAAAUGUUUCAAGCAGAUACAACUGAUGGUCCUGGUAAAUCAGUUAAAUUGUCUGAAAUAUUCAGCUACGGAGCUAGUCGGAUAAAUGUACCAAAUUUUGCUCCAGAGCUAAAAUCAAAGGACAGUUUUCUACCGGGAAAAUGUGGAUAGAGUGGAAACUUGACUACCUAAAGUGCCACUUAACACAAAAAUGUCACAGUGAUGCUGUAAAGGUCUGAUUUACCAGAUUAGCCAGCUUUGAUUAACCAGCUUUGACUUUGCAUUGCACCAAUAGGAACAAAAAUCAAAGCCUGAGCAAAUCAAAAUACUGAUUGAUAAUGCUCCUGGCAAAAUAUGUUAGCCUUCCCGACUUCUGGAGAAGUAAAAACUAUGCAUUUGAAUUUGUGGAAGGAAUUAAUGCAGUUGAGAGUGUGAGAAAUGCCCAAGUUCACAUGCUGUGAUAGUCAACGAAAGCACAGACAUUACAGUGCGUAAAAUCCUGGUUCUUUACAUUAAAACCAAGUCACUUCCAAAACUCGGUUUGCCAGGAUUCCUUCUACAUGAAUCACAAUGUUAUUUGCAGAAAAUGGUAAUGUUAACCUUCGAGGGUGUAUCUGUCAUGUUAGGUAAACCAAAUGGAGUCACUACAAAACUGAUGAA
Long non-coding RNA from Labeo rohita (rohu), 1574 nucleotides. RefSeq lists it as uncharacterized. The record is from RefSeq and is a predicted model, not a curated record. The transcript has 3 exons. NCBI's taxonomy places the organism in Eukaryota, Metazoa, Chordata, Actinopteri, Cypriniformes, Cyprinidae.